Molecule: small RNA, 148 nt
Filed under: Escherichia coli
Lineage: Bacteria; Pseudomonadati; Pseudomonadota; Gammaproteobacteria; Enterobacterales; Enterobacteriaceae
Description: Glm Y RNA activator of glmS mRNA
Rfam family: Glm Y RNA activator of glmS mRNA
About the family: This family consists of a number of bacterial RNA genes of around 167 bases in length.
Source: RNAcentral
AGUGGCUCAUUCACCGACUUAUGUCAGCCCCUUCGGGACGUGCUACAUAAAAUUCGAAUGACGCACAACAAGGUGCCUGCCGUCCAACUUCUGAUAUCAGCUUAGCUAUAUCAACCAUCGGGCGAAACGUCGAGUUAGGCACCGCCUU